Small nuclear RNA from Myotis myotis, 160 nucleotides. RefSeq annotates it as U1 spliceosomal RNA. NCBI's taxonomy places the organism in Eukaryota, Metazoa, Chordata, Mammalia, Chiroptera, Vespertilionidae. The transcript has a single exon. The record is from RefSeq and is a predicted model, not a curated record.
AUACUUACCUGGCAGGGGAGAUGCCAUGAUCAGGAAGAUGGUUUUCCAGGGCGAGGCUUACCCAUUGCACUCCGCAUGUGCAGGCCCCGGCGAUUUCCCCACUCGACUGCAUGAUGUGUGUGUGUGUGUGGUGAGGGGGGGGGGAGACUGUGUUCACACU